AACGAACGCUGGCGGCAUGCCUAACACAUGCAAGUCGAACGAGACCUUCGGGUCUAGUGGCGCACGGGUGCGUAACGCGUGGGAACCUGCCCUUAGGUUCGGAAUAACUUCCCGAAAGGGGUGCUAAUACCGGAUAAUGUCUUCGGACCAAAGAUUUAUCGCCUUUGGAUGGGCCCGCGUUGGAUUAGCUAGUUGGUAGGGUAGAAGCCUACCAAGGCGACGAUCCAUAGCUGGUCUGAGAGGAUGAUCAGCCACACUGGGACUGAGACACGGCCCAGAGUCCUACGGAAGGCAGCAGUGGGGAAUAUUGGACAAUCAGCGAGAGCCUGAUCCAUCAAUGCCGCGUGAGUGAUGAAGGCCUUAGGGUUGUAAAGCUCUUUUACCCGAGAUGAUAAUGACAGUACCGGGAGAAUAAGCACCGGCUAACUCCGUG
RNAcentral lists this ribosomal RNA (433 nucleotides) under uncultured bacterium. RNAcentral's name for it is "partial 16S ribosomal RNA". It matches the Rfam family "Bacterial small subunit ribosomal RNA", at positions 29 to 507 of the family's 1533-position model. The record is from RNAcentral.